Molecule: unclassified non-coding RNA, 236 nt
Filed under: plant metagenome
Description: partial contains small subunit ribosomal RNA, internal transcribed spacer 1, and 5.8S ribosomal RNA
Source: RNAcentral
UUUCCGUAGGUGAACCUGCGGAAGAAUCAUUACCGAGUGAGGGCCCUCUGGGUCCAACCUCCCACCCGUGUUUAUCGUACCUUGUUGCUUCGGCGGGCCCGCCUCACGGCCGCCGGGGGGCACCCGCCCCCGGGCCCGCGCCCGCCGAAGACACCAUUGAACGCUGUCUGAAGAUUGCAGUCUGAGCAUCUUAGCUAAAUCAGUUAAAACUUUCAACAACGGAUCUCUUGGUUCCG